RNAcentral lists this long non-coding RNA (215 nucleotides) under Panax ginseng (ginseng). RNAcentral's name for it is "long non-coding RNA (PGIN_LNC013844)". Lineage: Eukaryota; Viridiplantae; Streptophyta; Magnoliopsida; Apiales; Araliaceae. The record is from RNAcentral.
UUUUGUUGGUUUGUUUGUUGAAGUUGGUCCGGUUAUGGCUAAUGUCCCACUGCUUUUCCUUGUAUUCACACUUCCUCCAUCCAUUCUCCUUUUCGGACAAUCCUUCACCUUAUGCUCCGUGGAUCCACACAUAAAAUGUCCACUAUUCAUCAUUGGAUUGGGGCUAUUGGGAGAGAUAUGUCCCUCCUGCACAAACUUAGAACACACAAACUUUC